RNAcentral lists this transfer RNA (56 nucleotides) under Sarcophaga caudagalli. Its description in RNAcentral is "tRNA-Ile". The record is from RNAcentral. Lineage: Eukaryota; Metazoa; Arthropoda; Insecta; Diptera; Sarcophagidae.
AAUGAAUUGCCUGACAAAAGGAUUACCUUGAUAGGGUAAAUCAUGUAAUUAAUAUU